Molecule: long non-coding RNA, 1343 nt
Filed under: Glycine max (soybean)
Lineage: Eukaryota; Viridiplantae; Streptophyta; Magnoliopsida; Fabales; Fabaceae
Description: long non-coding RNA (GMAX_LNC003248)
Source: RNAcentral
AUUUUCAGGUUUCUGAAGAGAGGUGCUCUGAAACAAGAUUUUUGUAAGCGCUUCUUUCAAGUUUCAAUAAAUUUCUAUUUUCAUCCCUCUUCUAUCUCUUUACCGAUCCUGUGCGGCUCUACCGCCGCUUCAGUUUCUUUGUUUAUGAAAACCUGUGAUUUGUAAGCCGGUCUCCGAUGUACCCUUGACAUCUGUUUUACAAGUUUAUAUUUUCAUUUCCAUUUAUCAUACUGCAUUCUUACUUCCUAUCUGUCCGUUUGAUCUUAUUCCGCUGACCUCUCUCUCUCUCUCUCUCUCUCUCUCUCUCUCUCUAUAUAUAUAUAUAUAUAUAUAUAUAUAUAUAUAUAUAUACACACACACAUUUUAUUAAUUAAGGAAAAAGACUUAUAAUUCCACUUUAGCUUUAUCUAGUUUAAAUUUUUUGAAACUUUUUUUUUAAAAACAAAUAUUAGAUUAAAUUCUUUUUUUAAAAUAAAUAAAUUUGAUCCUGUGGCCAGUUGUGGUUUUUUUACUCAAAACAUUCGACAUAUUAUUUUCAAUCUAAAUAUAAGGAUACUUAAGUUGAAAUUGGGAAAUGAAAUAAUUUUAAAGAUUAAAAGUGAGAAAUUUAGUGAAAAUUUGAUAAAAUAAUAAGAUACAAGAUAAAGUUUUUUUUAACAGGUUUGACAAAGAAAUCAAAAUAAUAUAUAUAUAUAUAUAUAUAUAUAUAUAUUAAAAGGCAAUUUGAAAAAUAUAUUGCAUAAGUACUGAACGAAUAAGAACAAUAAAUUACAAACACAUAAUAACAACAAUAAUAAUAAUAAUAAGUCACAAUCUAUUAUUAACGUCCAAAUAUAUUUGUCACACUUUAUAUACUUUCGGGAAUUAAAUUUUACAUUUUCAUCUUUCAGGGACGCAUUUAUCAGUUGAACGAGAAGACGAAUAAUCAAAAAAAUAUUAUGACAAAUAUGUCUCUAUACUGACAAUUCACGUUAACAAUCAUUUCAGUGACAAAUUUGUCCCUUUGUGCCACAUAGGCUAUUUUAUUAACGGUGACAGACGGAAGUUAACGGUCGGAUAUAUUUGUCGCACUUUUUACACUUUUAUGACUAAAUUUUAUAUUUUUAUCUUUUAGGGACAUAUUUGUCACCAAAUUACACAUUGAGAGACAAAAGUAACUAUUUAUCUUAUAAAAUAUUUGAUCAAAUUCGAUCCAGGCAAAUAUUCUAUGAAUAAUUAGGUGAGUUCAUGUUUUUUCUUUCUAGAGGUGCAUACCUCAACACAUAAGCUGUUUGAAGAACAUAUUAAUUAGUUUUAUAAGUUAUAUCUAAAUCUUUAACUAUCGGCUAGCACUGUGAACUCCC